RNAcentral lists this ribosomal RNA (701 nucleotides) under Pluteus sp. VI AJ-2010. Its description in RNAcentral is "eukaryotic LSU rRNA". The stretch from base 287 to 440 matches the Rfam family "5.8S ribosomal RNA". The record is from RNAcentral. Lineage: Eukaryota; Fungi; Basidiomycota; Agaricomycetes; Agaricales; Pluteaceae.
AAGGUUUCCGUAGGUGAACCUGCGGAAGGAUCAUUAGUGAAUAAACUUGUGUGGGUUGUUGCUGACCUCCUCGGAGGUAUGUGCACACCUGCCAUCGUUUCAUUCAAUCCACCUCCCACCUGUGCACUCUCUGUAGGCCAAACCAUCAAUCUUUCAGGCUCUUCUAAGGGCCUGGCAUGAGGAACUGCUCCGGCUUUCCUUGGAUGGGUGUGGUCUACGUUUUUAUCAACACUGCAUGUAAUCGAAUGUCUGUUCUGGGCUCUAUAUGACCCAUAAAACCUUAUACAACUUUCAACAACGGAUCUCUUGGCUCUCGCAUCGAUGAAGAACGCAGCGAAAUGCGAUAAGUAAUGUGAAUUGCAGAAUUCAGUGAAUCAUCGAAUCUUUGAACGCACCUUGCGCUCCUUGGCAUUCCGAGGAGCAUGCCUGUUUGAGUGUCAUUAAAUUCUCAACCUCACAUCCCUUGUGGUGUGAAGGUUGGAUAUGGGAGCUGCUGGCCUUUUGGGUCAGCUCUUCUGAAAUCCAUUAGCAGGGCCUUUGUAUGCAAAACUGCAGCUUGGUAAUGAUGGGAUGUCUUACCAGGUCACAGACAAGCAUGUGCUUUGCUCACAGCCGUCUCUUUGAGACAAAUCCACUUGACAAUUUGACCUCAAAUCAGGUAGGACUACCCGCUGAACUUAAGCAUAUCAAUAAGCGGAGGA